GACGAACGCUGGCGGCGUGCUUAACACAUGCAAGUCGAACGGAAAGGCCCUGCUUUUGUGGGGUGCUCGAGUGGCGAACGGGUGAGUAACAAGUGAGUAACCUGCCCUUGACUUUGGGAUAACUUCGGGAAACUGGGGCUAAUACCGGAUAGGAGCUCCUGCUGCAUGGUGGGGGUUGGAAAGUUUCGGCGGUUGGGGAUGGACUCGCGGCUUAUCAGCUUGUUGGUGGGGUAGUGGCUUACCAAGGCUUUGACGGGUAGCCGGCCUGAGAGGGUGACCGGCCACAUUGGGACUUAGAUACGGCCCAGACUCCUACGGGAGGCAUCAGUGGGGAAUAUUGCACAAUGGGCGGAAGCCUGAUGCAGCAACUCCGCGUGCGGGAUGACGGCCUUCGGGUUGUAAACCUCUUUCGCCUGUGACGAAGCGUGAGUGACGGUAAUGGGUAAAGAAGCACCGGCUAACUACUUG
This 468-nucleotide ribosomal RNA is filed under the name uncultured bacterium. RNAcentral's name for it is "partial 16S ribosomal RNA". It matches the Rfam family "Bacterial small subunit ribosomal RNA", at positions 28 to 507 of the family's 1533-position model. The record is from RNAcentral.